RNAcentral lists this long non-coding RNA (1447 nucleotides) under Cricetulus griseus (Chinese hamster). Its description in RNAcentral is "lncRNA (ENSCGRG00015042587.1)". The record is from RNAcentral. Lineage: Eukaryota; Metazoa; Chordata; Mammalia; Rodentia; Cricetidae.
AUGGCAGAUGUUGGAUUACAGGUGAAGGCUGCUUUUGGAGUUGAGAUAACUGCUGCUGUUGGACUUGAGGGAACUUCUGGUAUUGAACUCCAUGUGAUGGCAAGUGUUGGAGUAGAGGUGACUGCUGACUUUGGACUUGAGGUGAUUGUUGAAACUGAAGUUGAGGUAACUCCUGAAGCUGUAGCUGACAUAUCUGCUGAUGUUCUUGGACUUGGGGUGAUUGCUGAUGUUCUUGGACUUGGGGUGAUUGCUGGUGUUGCUGCUGUUCUUGGGGUAACUGGUGGCUUUGUUCCUGGUCUUUGUCUUGAGGUGACUGCUGGUGUACCUGUUUCUGGUGAGUGACACAUUUGAGUCUCUUACAUCUCGCUCGUUGGUUCUUGAACCAAACCUUCACAACUGUGGGGUUCAUGUUCAGUCUUGAAGCUAUUCCUUUAAUGAUACUGCACUUGGAUAUGGGUUCUCUAAGAAUUGCUUGUUCAGUUCAGCCACUUGUUGCCGAGUGAAUGUAGUUCAUGUCCUAUGUAGGUCUUUCUGGGUCUCACCCGUGAAGGGCUCGCAGGUAAUGUUAGUAUUCUUGCAGAAGAUAUGGUUCCCAUUUCCAGUAUUCUCCAAGUUGGACAGCUCCAUCCCGCCUUCAGGAAGAAUGCAAGAGUGUGCCAUGUUGGCCCUAGCCGACCCCAUGUACUUCGUUCUGCAAGUCAAAGAAUGCAAUUUUUUUUCUUUUUUUCUUCAUAAAUUUUAUUUACAUUGUAAACAAUUUUAUACAUUUUAUUUAAAUAGAAAUGAUUUUAUACAUUUUUUUCAAUUAGAAAUGAUCUACUGCUCCCUCGUAGUCUAGUGGUUAGGAUUCUGCACUCUUACCACCUCAGCCUGGGUUCCAUUCCCGGUCAGGGAAGGAAGGUAAUCCCUUCUUGCCUGCCUCUGCCUCCCCAGUGCUGGGUCUUCUGGUUUUUUUACCUUCUUUAACGGGAGGUGUUUUGGAGACCUCAAGAUGGGCCAGAGCCAGUAUAUGGCAGAGUCCUGGCAACAACCAAAAUGGACCAUCUUAUGGCCAUCAGGGGAAUACUUGGAGUCCUUAAGGUGCCUGUUGGGGUACAGGCAGAGUUGAAAUGAAGGAAUCCCUUUGUUGUUAUACAUGUGGGCUUCAGGCAGGAUGCUGGUAGGGCCUUCUGGUGGUGUAUUCUCCUUACUCUGGGAUGGACUCUCAUCUAAUCCACCAUGAAGUGACCACUGGCAUUGACGUUGAGAUGACUGCUGGUGUUGGACUUGAGGUGAUGGCUGGUGUUGGUCUUGAGGUGACUGCUGGUGUUGGUCUUGAGGUGACUGCUGGUGUUGGUCUUGAGGUGACUGCUGGUGUUGGACUUGAGGGAACUGGUGGUGUUGGGCUUGAGGUGACGGCUGGUGUUGGUCUUGAGGUGACUGCUGGUGUUGGUCUUGAGGUGACUGC